Long non-coding RNA from Coccinella septempunctata (seven-spotted ladybird), 1015 nucleotides. RefSeq lists it as uncharacterized. Lineage: Eukaryota; Metazoa; Arthropoda; Insecta; Coleoptera; Coccinellidae. The record is from RefSeq and is a predicted model, not a curated record. The transcript is spliced from 4 exons.
CGGUAAAUGAACGCGUGAUAAAACGUCGUGAUGGCAUUGAUCGUAGAUUUGACGGGUAACAACGUCGACACAUGACAACACGUGCUAAUAGGAAUCCAUGCCUAUGUCAUUAUCGAAUACGAAUUAGCUAGCGGCGCGUGUCAUAGAACAUGCGAAUGGUUCGAUGUCAAAGAGGCAUGGAGAAUUUGUCGAUGACACUAUAGACUAUGGACGAGGAUCUAUUCUGUUGGCGUGUUGGUGGUAUUGGCAGAUGAUUGAGUUACUGUUUAGAAUUAAUUGAAUUACUACGCCGACAAUGCACAAUGCGUGUUGAGAUUUGCUUUGUUGGGGCAAGAUGAGGAGUUUCGGGAAAAUGUUAAACACAACGCAGCUGAAAUUGGACAUGUGAAGGCUCGUCAAGUUGGCAGUCGUGAUAGGUGGUCUCAGGAGGACCCGAUGAAACUCUGAACAGACAGCUUCAACUCGUGGCAAACAUGCUUUUGGGAUUUAGCAUGGUGUUUACCUUCUGCAUAAAUACUGAUAAUGUUUCCUAACUUUCUUGGAGGGUUGAACUUCUACCCUUGAAGGCACCUUUUAUCUGUAUGCAGCCGAGGGAGCUGUGGUCUAAAGUUGAUAUUCUACAGAAUAACGUGAAUGAAGUUUAACGUGGACCGUUUGAUAUUCAUGAGACUCUGCCAUUUCUGGCUAGUUUUUGGAGGAGAAAUAUGGAGGACACACCUUAUGUGGGAAAAUUAGAGAAUUAGUGGGACGAUGGAAAAGUUCUAUGGGCGGCGUGGAUUCGAUGCUCGUCCGCAUUCACGGUGUUAAAAUUUCGAGCCACUUCGACUACAGAAUAAUAAAUGGGAAGAUUGUCGCAGGAGAGCAGAGAGAAUCACUCCUUUACCCUUUGUGUUGUUCUUGGCGAAUUUGUGACGACAAUGAAGAAGAUGGACAAAACCACCAAGAAGGAUAUCGCCCGAUAUUCCAAAAUCUAAGAAAUCCAGCCGUUAUCAACUGAGUACCUGUACUGAAAGGG